UACGUAGGGUGCAAGCGUUGUCCGGAAUUAUUGGGCGUAAAGGGCUCGUAGGCGGUCUGUCACGUCGGGAGUGAAAACUCAGGGCUUAACCCUGAGCCUGCUUCCGAUACGGGCAGACUAGAGGUAUGCAGGGGAGAACGGAAUUCCGGGUGUAGCGGUGGAAUGCGUAGAGAUCCGGAAGAACACCAGUGGCGAAGGCGGUCUGCUGGGCAGUUGCUGACACUGAGGCGCGACAGCGUGGGGAGCAAACAGG
This 253-nucleotide ribosomal RNA is filed under the name uncultured bacterium. Its description in RNAcentral is "partial 16S ribosomal RNA". It matches the Rfam family "Bacterial small subunit ribosomal RNA", at positions 524 to 776 of the family's 1533-position model. The record is from RNAcentral.